UACGGAGGGUGCGAGCGUUGUCCGGAAUCACUGGGCGUAAAGGGCGCGUAGGCGGCAUGCCAAGCGUGUGGUGAAAGCCCGGGGCUCAACCCCGGGUCGGCCGUGCGGACUGGCGUGCUUGAGCACUGUAGGGGCGGGUGGAAUUCCGGGUGUAGCGGUGGAAUGCGUAGAGAUCUGGAGGAACACCGAUGGCGAAGGCAGCCUUCUGGGCCAACACUGACGCUCAUGCACGAAAGCGUGGGGAGCAAACAGG
RNAcentral lists this ribosomal RNA (253 nucleotides) under uncultured bacterium. RNAcentral describes it as "partial 16S ribosomal RNA". It matches the Rfam family "Bacterial small subunit ribosomal RNA", at positions 524 to 776 of the family's 1533-position model. The record is from RNAcentral.